This 3019-nucleotide unclassified non-coding RNA is filed under the name Amphibalanus amphitrite. RNAcentral's name for it is "uncharacterized LOC122394216, transcript variant X2". Lineage: Eukaryota; Metazoa; Arthropoda; Thecostraca; Balanomorpha; Balanidae. The record is from RNAcentral.
UGCUGGUUGGCUGGGAUAUCAGAUUACAGAUAUGAAUGAUUAUUAUUUUCAUAUCAAACUAUUAUUUUCAUAUCAAAGGUUGCUGAAACUGCUGACCCUCUCUUUUGCUCGUACCUGAAAGUUUCCACGUUUCAAAGCGCCCUGAAUAUUUUAACCGCUAACCGGUAUGACCUAAAUCCUGAUUUAUCAGCUUUGAGGAUUCGCCGAACCCCUGUCAUGCCUCACGUGGACGGCAGGGUUGGCUUGUGCUGCCACCUGUCGGCGCUGCACGCGGCUGGCGUUCGCUCAUCCGUCACCAGGUGGUGUUCGUGGCGCUGCCCACGUGACAUGACGUCACAUCCGCUGUCGGCUCUCGACCAAUGAGCGGCCGGCGUCGGGCGCGGCUCGGCGGCGAGACGCCAGCGUCGGUCUCAUUUCUUCCGGUGGCGUCCGAGCAGGAAAUUGCGCGAUAAACUCUCGGCUUGGCAAUACAUCACAUUUCAAAGUUUAUCUUGCUGGACUGCUCAAGACAAGAGCUGCUGUCAUGAUUGAAAUUUACUGGAUGCCACUGAUGUCUGUGAUGCUGGCUUCUGUGAGAAACAAGUCUCCUGGCCCUAUAACAGAGGAAUGCAAGAGGAUAUUCAUCAAGAAUCAGAUUACAGUGGAUAAAGAGCUGAAGAACUUACCUACCUAAUCAAAACAGCUAGAACUGAACUAUGGGCAACCUGAGAGGAAUAUUUGAAGGUAUACUGGAGCGCACCAUGAUGACAAUGUGAUAUCAUGGGAUAUAGAUCUCUAAGGAGCUGGUCUUGUCAAUGAUUGACAGACUGGUUGAACUACAUGGGUCAUGUGGAUCUGGCUGCCUGCCAAGGUCAGAUUCCUGACAGCAAGACUUCGUGAAUAUGCAAGGAUCGCGUUCAGUCAGGUCUUGUGUGUUGACUGCUGCUUUGCACCAGCUUUGACUGCUCGAGAUCAUGGCACAUCCGUGGACGGCGUUGUCUCUACCUGUUGUCACUCCUAAGCCGUGUUCAACCAAAUUUCCAGUCCCAGGACGCUGAAAGUACACUUCUUCCAUCGGUGCAACUCUCGUCACCCGAUGACUGAUACGAGCCAGUCACCUGAACCUGCAAAGGUUAUCCUGCUGUGGUGUUAGCAAGCGUCGUCUAUUUGCGAACGGCAAAGGGUCACAACGCAUCUGAAUAGCUGGCAAGUGUGCGGUUCCUGAUUCCGUGGAGCAGCGUUAUCGAAAAAGAGACGUUCUGCGGGCUAAGAGCGCUGUAAAUGACAUCUAUAGCGAGUAUGGCGACAACCCCCUUCGCCCGGUGGUCUCGAGUGGAGCUUUGCUACAUACAAGGGUAUCCGCGGCGUCCCCAAGCUCUACUUUGCUUCAUCGCCUGCUAUGUGCGUUGGCGCUUCUGAUGAAGAUUUACCAGUCUGCCCUGGGAUCGGCUAACGUCGAGAUUGAAGGAUUCAUCUGCUUGGUAAAUGGUGUCUGCAAGUCUGCUAGAUCACGAUUCAUGCCCCAACGUGAGCGGAAUGGUUCUAGUGCCAAUGUGCGUUCUUCUGUCUGCACAAGAAGCCGAUUCGGUGAAGCGAGUCUAUGGAAACUCGUCACAGUGCACAUUAGAUGGUCCCUCAGAAGUAUGAAGUAGAUUCGAGAAUGACAUCCUCACAAGUCGCUGGGACGCUUACAGCAGACUUAAGCGUGUCCGACAUCGGCUCUGGCGGAAUCUGAAACAGUGUCCCCACGCAGGUGGAUAUGCAGAGCGGACUGUGGCACCGCGCUUGCGCAGCUGGCAGAGGCGAAACGAUUGGCCCGUAGACUAGGUUGUUGUUACGGCAAAUGUUCGCCUACCCGUUUUGAUGGAAGACUGGAUCAUAAAUGCCUGUAAUAUGUGUCAAAACACAAGUUGCGGAGACAGUCUGAGAAUAUGUCGUUUUCUCUAGACCAUCAUGCAGUACUUCAACCUGCAGUAACCAGCUCAUUGAACCCGCGAUAUGAUAAUGCAAGCCAGGCCCUCCCGUCUUCUAACAGGUGUCUUCACUACGGUCGCAACUGCGCUAUGGAUUGCUUGCCAACGAUACUGAAGGUUCCGCCUGAAGAAGUUGCAGACCCCCUGCUCUGCGACUCUGGAAAUGGUUGCUUCCAACAAUCAACAUAAAUGCGGCUCUGGUCGUUUGCAUUAUUCCAUAGCUGCCUUCUUCGUCGUUGGAGCUCGUCGUGUCCCGGCGUCGUCCAUUCGACUCCUCGCGGCCUUCGUCGGCACUGCCACCAUCAUCAAACACAAAGCAGCAAAUAGUGGUGGAAAGAACCCGCGAAGUUGCUCUAGGUUUUGGGGGUGCAGCACCUAUGGUGCUACAGCACAAAAAGUUCUCUGAAAAGUGCUAGCGGCUUGGUAGUGUGUACUGCGGCCCACAAACGAAAGGAAACUCGGCUGAAAGAGGAUCAGGAAACCAGCGUUGCUGCCCUCGUCCGUGCUAACAAGUGCAUGUAACCGCAGAGGGUCCCUGACCAAAAACCACGCAUCUAAAGGCUUCUGGGGAACUUUAAACGGCACGCGUUCUUCGAAUGAAAGUUGUUGGUGUCUGGCGGAGUAUGGCCACAUCCCAGCUUCUGUGCCCUAGCCUCCGGAAUGAAAUUCCACAUGACUGAAUUCCUAGGUCUCAAACCCUAGUCUGCACAGCCUUCAUAGCUCUACGCGCAUUCGUUCAUCGUUUGACUAUUGGCGAAUUCCCGAUAGGUCGUGUUUGAAGAACCAAGAAAGUGAUGUCCGGUUCCAAAAUACCCAGCUGUUGCAUCUGAGCUGAGAACUUCUUGGAACUUCUUCGCUGUGUCUGUGAUAACUGAUGAGCCACGGGGAUGACUCGCCGGUCGGAACUGCGAGGUGCCACCCGCCGGGUCUUCCGGCGCCGUGACGCCGCGUCGUGGAAACAAUCCGUGGUGUGAUCGGCAUUGUAUGGUGUAUGCUUGAUUACAAGGACGCGUGUAUUUCGAGUCGAGAACGUUGUCUAAUAAAUGGCAGUCUGUUGAUAAAAUGGA